UACGUAGGGAGCGAGCGUUGUCCGGAAUUACUGGGCGUAAAGGGCGCGUAGGCGGCGCUUCAAGUCGUCUGUCAAAUGGAAGGGCUUAACCCUUUUUCGCAGACGAAACUGGAGAGCUUGAGAAGCAGAGAGGCAAACAGAAUUCCUGGUGUAGCGGUGAAAUGCGUAGAUAUCAGGAAGAAUACCAGUGGCGAAGGCGGUUUGCUGGCUGCAUACUGACGCUGAAGCGCGAAAGCCAGGGGAGCGAACGGGAUUAGAUACCCCGGUAGUCCUGGCAGUAAACGAUGUAUGCUGGGUGUGAGACUAGCGAUAGUUUCGUGCCGAAGUUAACGCGAUAAGCAUACCGCCUGGGGAGUACGGUCGCAAGAUUGAA
RNAcentral lists this ribosomal RNA (373 nucleotides) under uncultured bacterium. RNAcentral describes it as "bacterial SSU rRNA". It matches the Rfam family "Bacterial small subunit ribosomal RNA", at positions 524 to 898 of the family's 1533-position model. The record is from RNAcentral.